UUCCCAAACCUUAAGAUACAAACCCUCUCAAAGAGAUACAAAGAAGCAAACAAAGAAAUAAUCGUUUCAAGAUCAAAGUGUUUGCAAAUUAAGCUCAAUUACAAAAUAAAACAAAAUAAAGAACAAAAGGUGAGAGAAAAUGAAACUGGGAAGAAAAUUUGGGAAAAAGAAAAUAAAGGAAAAUAACAAUAAAAUUUAAAAAGAAAAACCACCACCUUAAAAUCUGGCACCCAAUCAGGUUUUUAAGGGUUUGAAAUCAA
This 260-nucleotide long non-coding RNA is filed under the name Gossypium raimondii (Peruvian cotton). RNAcentral describes it as "long non-coding RNA (GRAI_LNC004546)". The record is from RNAcentral. Lineage: Eukaryota; Viridiplantae; Streptophyta; Magnoliopsida; Malvales; Malvaceae.